AGUGAACGCUGGCGGUAGGCCUAACACAUGCAAGUCGAACGGCAGCACAGUAAGAGCUUGCUCUUACGGGUGGCGAGUGGCGGACGGGUGAGGAAUACAUCGGAAUCUACUUUUUCGUGGGGGAUAACGUAGGGAAACUUACGCUAAUACCGCAUACGACCUACGGGUGAAAGCAGGGGAUCUUCGGACCUUGCGCGAUUGAAUGAGCCGAUGUCGGAUUAGCUAGUUGGCGGGGUAAAGGCCCACCAAGGCGACGAUCCGUAGCUGGUCUGAGAGGAUGAUCAGCCACACUGGAACUGAGACACGGUCCAGACUCCUACGGGAGGCAGCAGUGUGGAAUAUUAGACAAUGGGCGCAAGCCUGAUCCAGCCAUACCGCGUGGGUGAAGAAGGCCUUCGGGUUGUAAAGCCCUUUUGUUGGGAAAGAAAAGCAGCAGGUUAAUACCCCGCUGUUCUGACGGUACCCAAAGAAUAAGCACCGGCUAACUUCGUG
Molecule: ribosomal RNA, 492 nt
Filed under: uncultured bacterium
Lineage: Bacteria
Description: partial 16S ribosomal RNA
Rfam family: Bacterial small subunit ribosomal RNA
Source: RNAcentral